CCAUGUUGGCUUUCUUGGACGUUUCCUCCCUAAACUCGGGCCGCGCCGCUUGCGCGGCCUUUUUUUUGCCUGGA
Molecule: small RNA, 74 nt
Filed under: Pararhodospirillum photometricum DSM 122
Lineage: Bacteria; Pseudomonadati; Pseudomonadota; Alphaproteobacteria; Rhodospirillales; Rhodospirillaceae
Description: Makes More Granules Regulator RNA (mmgR)
Rfam family: Makes More Granules Regulator RNA (mmgR)
About the family: SuhB later renamed mmgR (makes more granules regulator) was a putative non-coding RNA found multiple times in the Agrobacterium tumefaciens genome and related alpha-proteobacteria. Other non-coding RNAs uncovered in the same analysis include: speF, ybhL, metA, and serC.
Source: Rfam by way of RNAcentral